CCUACGGGAGGCAGCAGUGGGGAAUAUUGGGCAAUGGGCGCAAGCCUGACCCAGCAACGCCGCGUGAAGGAAGAAGGCUUUCGGGUUGUAAACUUCUUUUGACAGGGAAGAGUAGAAGACGGUACCUGUCGAAUAAGCCACGGCUAACUACGUGCAAGCAGCCGCGGUAAUACGUAGGUGGCAAGCGGUGUCCGGAUUUACUGGGUGUAAAGGGCGUGUAGCCGGGUUGACAAGUCAGAUGUGAAAUCCUGCGGCUUAACCGCAGAACUGCAUUUGAAACUGUUGAUCUUGAGUACUGGAGAGGCAGACGGAAUUCCUAGUGUAGCGGUGAAAUGCGUAGAUAUUAGGAGGAACACCAGUGGCGAAGGCAGUCUGCUGAACAGCAACUGACGGUGAGGCGCGAAAGCGUGGGGAGCAAACAGGAUUAGAUACCCGAGUAGUC
RNAcentral lists this ribosomal RNA (442 nucleotides) under uncultured bacterium. Its description in RNAcentral is "partial 16S ribosomal RNA". It matches the Rfam family "Bacterial small subunit ribosomal RNA", at positions 338 to 795 of the family's 1533-position model. The record is from RNAcentral.